This 465-nucleotide ribosomal RNA is filed under the name uncultured bacterium. RNAcentral's name for it is "partial 16S ribosomal RNA". It matches the Rfam family "Bacterial small subunit ribosomal RNA", at positions 28 to 507 of the family's 1533-position model. The record is from RNAcentral.
GACGAACGCUGGCGGCGUGCUUAACACAUGCAAGUCGAACGGAAAGGCCCCUUUGGGGGUACUCGAGUGGCGAACGGGUGAGUAACACGUGAGUAACCUGCCCUUGACUUCGGGAUAACUUCAGGAAACUGGGGCUAAUACCGGAUAGGAAUCCUUGCUGCAUGGUGGGGGUUGGAAAGCUUCGGCGGUUUUGGAUGGACUCGCGGGUUAUCAGCUUGUUGGUGGGGUAGUGGCUUACCAAGGCUUUGACGGGUAGCCGGCCUGAGAGGGCGACCGGCCACAUUGGGACUGAGAUACGGCCCAGACUCCUACGGGAGGCAGCAGUGGGGAAUAUUGCACAAUGGGCGGAAGCCUGAUGCAGCAACGCCGCGUGCGGGAUGACGGCCUUCGGGUUGUAAACCGCUUUCAGCAGGGGCGAAGCUUGUGGUGACGGUACCUGCAGAAGAAGCACCGGCUAACUACGUG